AAGCAGUAAAUGCGAUUAGGUUAAUGAGAGCAGAUGGCCUGAGGCCUAGUAUUUUAGCUCUGAAUUCCUUGAUCAAUGCAUUUGGCGAGGAUAGGAGAGAUGCUGAAGCAUUUGCAGUGCUGCAAUACAUGAAGGAAAAUGAUUUGAAGCCAGAUGUGGUAACGUAUACUACUCUUAUGAAAGCUUUGAUUCGUGUAGAUAAAUUUAAUAAGGUGC
RNAcentral lists this unclassified non-coding RNA (216 nucleotides) under Hevea brasiliensis (rubber tree). The record is from RNAcentral. Lineage: Eukaryota; Viridiplantae; Streptophyta; Magnoliopsida; Malpighiales; Euphorbiaceae.